AAGCGGGAAAAGCUCAAAUUUAAAAUCUGGCAGUCUAUGGCUGUCCGAGUUGUAAUCUAGAGAAGUGAUGCCCGCGCUGGACCGUGUACAAGUCUCCUGGAAUGGAGCGUCAUAGAGGGUGAGAAUCCCGUCUCUGACACGGACUACCAGGGCUUUGUGGUAUGCUCUCAAAGAGUCGAGUUGUUUGGGAAUGCAGCUCUAAAUGGGUGGUAAAUUCCAUCUAAAGCUAAAUAUUGGCGAGAGACCGAUAGCGAACAAGUACCGUGAGGGAAAGAUGAAAAGAACUUUGGAAAGAGAGUUAAACAGUACGUGAAAUUGCUGAAAGGGAAACGCUUGAAGUCAGUCGCGUUAGCUAGGAAUCAGCCUUGCUUUUGCUUGGUGUACUUUCUGGUUU
This 394-nucleotide ribosomal RNA is filed under the name uncultured Morganella. RNAcentral's name for it is "partial 18S ribosomal RNA". It matches the Rfam family "Eukaryotic large subunit ribosomal RNA", at positions 96 to 483 of the family's 3401-position model. Lineage: Eukaryota; Fungi; Basidiomycota; Agaricomycetes; Agaricales; Lycoperdaceae. The record is from RNAcentral.